RNAcentral lists this long non-coding RNA (648 nucleotides) under Homo sapiens (human). RNAcentral's name for it is "HSALNT0341638". Lineage: Eukaryota; Metazoa; Chordata; Mammalia; Primates; Hominidae. The record is from RNAcentral.
UCUAAACAAUUCCAUCCUAAAACUACCAGAUUAGACAAAGAAAAGCAAGCCUCUGCACAGGGGUUUGGAGCAAGGUGUUGACCAAAAUUUGGAUGUCAGAACUCAAGCAGGGAGAAGAGGCUAGAGUGCAGUGGUGCGAUCUCGGCUCACUACAACUCCUACCUCCUGAGUUCAAGCGAUUCUCCUGCCUCAGCCUCCCGAGUAGCCAGGACUACAGUGUCGAGGUCAUGAAAGCCACUGAAAGACUGAGAACUGUUCCAGAAAGGAGACUAGAGAGACAUGGCAGCCAAAUGCUCCACAUAAUCCUGUCCUGGAUUCUUCUCCUACAAAGGAAGGGGUCUGAGGAUUAGGUGGUAGUACUGAAUCAAGGAACUAUCAUCUCCUAUUGUGCUGUAGGCAAACUUGAGUGACAUGGUGGAAGCCACCAGAGAGAAUAUCUGAAGCAAUUCAUUAAAAUCUUGGCAGCCAGACCCCAGCUCCCACUUUCCCUGAAAGCUCCCUUUAAUGAAGCUGAACGCUGUCCCAGCAAUUCCCUCCACAGAAGACCUACUGUCACCACCUCUGGAGGGGCAAUUCCUGGAGGAACCAAGUCAGCCAAUCGAAGGUCCUGAAUAAGCAAAAACUAAGUAAAUAAAUUACCAUCUCGAA